RNAcentral lists this ribosomal RNA (393 nucleotides) under Triticum aestivum (bread wheat). RNAcentral describes it as "partial small subunit ribosomal RNA". Lineage: Eukaryota; Viridiplantae; Streptophyta; Magnoliopsida; Poales; Poaceae. The record is from RNAcentral.
AUGGCGUUCACCAUGCGCGCCGUGAAGGUUCCGCCGAACUCGGCGUCGAUGGGGGAGGCGCGGCACCGCGUGUUCGACUUCUUCAGGGAGGCCUGCCGCGCCAUCCCCUCCAUCAUGGAGAUCUACAACCUCGACGACGUCGUGACCCCCGCCCAGCUCCGCGCCAGCAUCUCCCAGCAGAUCCGGAAGAACCAGGGCGUCUCCGACCCCAAGGUCAUUGAUAUGCUUCUCUUCAACGGGAUGGAGGAGCUGAACAACAUCACCGAGCACGCGAAGCAGCGCCACCACAUCAUCGGGCAAUAUGUGGUUGGCCACAAGGGGCUGGUGCAGGACCUGGAAAAGGACCAAGGGAGCUCCGAGUUCCUGAAGAAAUUCUACACCAGCAACUACUAG